UACAGAGGGGGCAAGCGUUAUUCGGAAUUAUUGGGCGUAAAGGGCGCGUAGGCGGCGGGGUAAGUCGGGUGUGAAAUCUCAGAGCUCAACUCUGAAACUGCACUCGAUACUGCUCUGCUUGAGGACUGGAGAGGAGACUGGAAUUCACGGUGUAGCAGUGAAAUGCGUAGAUAUUGUGAGGAAGACCAGUGGCGAAGGCGGGUCUCUGGACAGUUCCUGACGCUGAGGCGCGAAGGCCAGGGGAGCAAACGGG
This 253-nucleotide ribosomal RNA is filed under the name uncultured bacterium. RNAcentral describes it as "partial 16S ribosomal RNA". It matches the Rfam family "Bacterial small subunit ribosomal RNA", at positions 524 to 776 of the family's 1533-position model. The record is from RNAcentral.